This 317-nucleotide unclassified non-coding RNA is filed under the name uncultured fungus. RNAcentral's name for it is "partial contains 5.8S ribosomal RNA, internal transcribed spacer 2, and large subunit ribosomal RNA". The stretch from base 1 to 52 matches the Rfam family "5.8S ribosomal RNA", at positions 103 to 154 of the family's 154-position model. RNAcentral also lists the same sequence under 1 other name. Lineage: Eukaryota; Fungi. The record is from RNAcentral.
AACGCACCUUGCGCUCCUUGGUAUUCCGAGGAGCAUGCCUGUUUGAGUGUCAUUAAAUUCUCAACCCCUUUGGUUUCGCAAGAAGUCGAAGUGGGCUUGGACAGUGGGUCUGCUGGUGACUUUUGGGUCGUCGGCUCUCCUUAAAUGCAUUGGCGGAGGCGAUGGCAUGAUAACGUCCUUCGGUGUGAUAAUGAUCGCCGUGGAUGGAAGUGUCCAGUUCACCUGCGCCUUUAACAGCCCUUUGGUGGCCACCCCUCGGGGUGAUAGCUUUUGAACCUUUUGACCUCAAAUCAGGUAGGACUACCCGCUGAACUUAA